This 2956-nucleotide long non-coding RNA is filed under the name Nicotiana benthamiana. RNAcentral's name for it is "long non-coding RNA (NBEN_LNC012335)". Lineage: Eukaryota; Viridiplantae; Streptophyta; Magnoliopsida; Solanales; Solanaceae. The record is from RNAcentral.
AAACCUGGUCCCUUGCCUCUAAGAACAAAACCUUAAUCCCACCACCCUCCGUCGACGGUGAUGCUCUGAUGACCCACAAAAUUACACCAUCUCACCUCCUCGAUCUCUUCUUUCCAUUUUUGCCAUUGGUAUCCUUCCAAUAGCAGCCAAACUCGUCGAAUAUUCGUUUGAAUCGAUGAUUGCUCCGCUACACAUGGCGGCGCCAAUGACAAAUGACUAAAAUCAACACCCGAGCAUCCCCACUAUCCCCUCUCCAAUAAUCCAUGGCUGACAACCCUCGAAUCCUCCAUCUCUUUGAAUCUUAGAUCGCCGUCGAGCCCUAAAAAGUAAAAAUCAAGUUCCUUUGUUGUUCUCGGUUCAAAAUGAUUUUAGUCAUAUGCUCUCUAGGAGAACAUACGAUUAAUAUCCUUUUAAACCAAAUACAUGAAGUUUGAGGAUUUGAGAAUCUUGGUUCAAAUUAUAGUAAGUUUCCUUUUCGUUUUGUAGCUUUCAUUAUGGUCGUCCUUUCUGCUUUCUUCUACUAGAUUUCUUCUCUUAGCAUUCCUUUUUACAUGCAUAUUGAGUUUUAGGAAGUUUUUUUUAUUAAUUAGUUUGCCUAUUAGGUAACUGUGAUCCACGUUAUUGUUAGUUCUGUAGUUGAAAGAAAAGGAAGAAGAGGAAAAGAAAGACGUUAAAUGACUUGAUUGCUUCUGCUUCAUUGUCGUUUCAAUCAGGGGUUUUGGUAAGAUUUUGUUUCAGGCUGGGGUUUUUUACCACUAAAUUUUGGGGCUGGUUUGGAUUAAACCUAGGAAAUCAGCAGCCCAGUGUUACUUUAGUUGGGUCAAUCUAGACCCAUUGAAUUGGGUCGUUUGGCCCGGACCUUUGUUUGGUAGAAUAGAGGUAAAAUACAGGGGUUGUAAGGGUUAGUUCAGGAAUUAUAGAAUAGGGAAUCUUCCAUAAAAGACAUGGAAGCUUCUAGCAGGGAUAUCUUGCUAAUUUUGGUUUUAUAACUUGGUUAACAAGUUUUAAAAUGAAGGACUAGAUUAAAAUAAAAAGAUUUGAAGGCUGCCCUACUUUGCUUGCCUAUAAAGGCAUUGCAAACCUGCAUUUCAAGGUAGAUCCUAAGACUGGCAGAAUUGUGAAAACUCAAAAAGGUUUUUAGGAGUCUAAAUAUAAAAGAAAACUAAUAUUUUAUUGAAAGAAAGAGAGGGCUAAAAAUAGAGAGAAAUUUGAGGCGGAUGUUGUUUUUAAUCAUUGUUCCAUGGAGACUUAAUUUUGAACUUUGGAGUCUUUUUGAAUAGCUGAAGCAAAUUUAAAAUUUACAUUGAUUUUAAAAUGGUUUGAGGUUGAAUUUUUGAAAUUUCUGGUCUAAGCUGCUUUGAAAUCACUGUUCCAUUGGUUUCAUACCUUGAGAAUUCAACCUCUUGGACCUGGGAACGAUCUGGUGCUAUUACUGUUACUUUUCUCACCUUUUCGUUUGUUUUAUCCAUGUAUUUCCUUGGCUCAUGGUUGAGGUUUGAUUGUUGAGCACGAAAUAGUCGAAGUUUUGUUAAAUGAAGACCUUAUUUGAUGCUGAAUAUCUCCUCUCUUUUACUGUUUCAUGUUCUAUAAUUAGAGUUUAAGAAAUAAAUGUUAAUUAAGGCUUCCUAUUCCUUUGAAAUAUAGUGUGUGAGAAUAAUGUGGUGUUGUACUUUGCAUUCUGUGUCCAUAAUUGAACAUUGGACUUUAAUUGUCUGAGUUCAUGUUGGAUGCUGCAUCUGGGUGCUAGUAUUUGUGAAUGUCUGGCUAAGGAUCACUCAGAUUUGGUCUUGAAAUUCAUAGUCGAUACUCUAGGGUAAUAUAUCUUUAAAUUUGUUUAUGUUUUUAGCUACAAUUAGCUGAUAUUGUCAUAUUAUUUGUGUUCAAUUAUCUAAAAAUAGAAAUGCUAACUCUUAUAGCAUGAAGUCCUGCCCGUUUAAGGUUCAGGACUGCAGAUGUGAUUCCAGCAUGAUUUGGGAUGAUUUGGAUGGUUGUUGAUUAUAUUAGCUUGCUAAACCUAUAUGUGGGCUAUUCGUGUAUUAGCUUGAGAUGUUAAGUGUGUAUUAACCGAAUGAUCUAUUCCCUCAACAUUAACUGUGAAACUGUUUGGUUUUGAGUGUGACUAAAAGCUGAAGUGUUUGCAGGUUCAAAUUAUUUAUGUCUGGUCCAAUUCUCCACAUAUCAUGCAUUUAACUUCACCUAUUCAUGCUUAAGUUCUUUAAUGUUCAAAAGGUUUUGAAUGAACUCUGAGAUUGCCAUUAGAUCUAGGUUGAUCUUCCUUAGAAUUUUAAUGUGAAUAUUUUAAGUUCAAAUGAUCAACGACUUAUGACCAGAGUUUCACUAGCAUGAUUAUGAAUUUUAUUGGGCCCAACUCGCAUGUUUGCACAGUCAGCCAUCGGUUGGCUUCGAAAGCUUGGCAUUGGGCAUCGUUUCCAGGCCCAAGUGUUGGAGCGGAUUAUCACCUGGAGGGCCACAUAUGUAGGCUACCAGGCCUCAUGUUGGGCCUAUGGCAUUUAAUUUGAAAUGUUAGCCUCUUUCGUUCAAAUAUUUUAUCAUUGGGCUAGUUCGUUGAAGAACUUUUUUUCGUUAAUGUUUGAGUAGCUAUAAUUGUAGUGGACCUUGUUCAACUUGUCAUUUCUUUGAGGUUAGGGUGUGUCAUACUAGGUAGUGCAAAAUAAUUAUGGUCGUCGUGAUUAAUUAAGAUAUACAAAUUUGAUCAAUAUUCAUAGCAAGCCUUUAGGGCCGUCUAAAAUACGAUUGUGGUUGCGUAUACGUUCGCAUAACAUGAACAUGAUCCUAAUUAAUUUGGAGUAUGCAUUGGCGCAACUUCGAUCAAACAUUUCUUAUUAAUUAAAUAGGUUACGGGCUUAAUUGAUAUUAGCUUACAUAAUCCAUUAAAUCACAUAUGACCCUCGUAUAAAUUUCUUAAACCUAGAUGUAAAAAUGACUAAAAUUUCGU